GAAAGCAGGUCAUAGUGAUCCGGUGGUUCUGAAUGGAAGGGCCAUCGCUCAACGGAUAAAAGGUACUCCGGGGAUAACAGGCUGAUACCGCCCAAGAGUUCAUAUCGACGGCGGUGUUUGGCACCUCGAUGUCGGCUCAUCACAUCCUGGGGCUGAAGUAGGUCCCAAGGGUAUGGCUGUUCGCCAUUUAAAGUGGUACGCGAGCUGGGUUUAGAACGUCGUGAGACAGUUCGGUCCCUAUCUGCCGUGGGCGCUGGAGAACUGAGGGGGGCUGCUCCUAGUACGAGAGGACCGGAGUGGACGCAUCACUGGUGUUCGGGUUGUCAUGCCAAUGGCACUGCCCGGUAGCUAAAUGCGGAAGAGAUAAGUGCUGAAAGCAUCUAAGCACGAAACUUGCCCCGAGAUGAGUUCUCCCUGAGACUUUAAGUCUCCUGAAGGAACGUUGAAGACGACGACGUUGAUAGGCCGGGUGUGUAAGCGCAGCGAUGCGUUGAGCUAACCGGUACUAAUGAACCGUGAGGCUUAACCUUACA
RNAcentral lists this ribosomal RNA (533 nucleotides) under Salmonella enterica subsp. enterica serovar Typhimurium. RNAcentral's name for it is "partial 23S ribosomal RNA". It matches the Rfam family "Bacterial large subunit ribosomal RNA", at positions 2401 to 2925 of the family's 2925-position model. The record is from RNAcentral. Lineage: Bacteria; Pseudomonadati; Pseudomonadota; Gammaproteobacteria; Enterobacterales; Enterobacteriaceae.